GACGAACGCUGGCGGCGUGCUUAACACAUGCAAGUCGUGCGGUAAGGCCCUUUCGGGGGUACACGAGCGGCGAACGGGGGCGUAACACGUGCGCAACCUGCCCUUCACUUUGGGAUAACUGCCGGAAACGGUGGCUAAUACCGGAUAUGACUUCCUCACGCAUGUGGGGUGGUGGAAAGCCUUCGGGUGGUGGGGGAUGGGCUCGCGGUCUAUCAGCUUGUUGGUGGGGUGAUGGCCUACCAAGGCUUCGACGGGUAGCCGGCCUGGGAGGGUGACCGGCCACACUGGGACUGCGACACGGCCCAGACUCCUACGGUAGGCAGCAGUGGGGAAUAUUGGACAAUGGGCGCAAGCCUGAUCCAGCAACGCCGCGUGAGUGAUGACGGCCUUCGGGUUGUAAACCUCUUUCGCCUGCGACGAAGCGAGAGUGACGGUAGCAGGUAAAGAAGCACCGGCCAACUACGUG
Molecule: ribosomal RNA, 466 nt
Filed under: uncultured bacterium
Lineage: Bacteria
Description: partial 16S ribosomal RNA
Rfam family: Bacterial small subunit ribosomal RNA
Source: RNAcentral